Molecule: ribosomal RNA, 261 nt
Filed under: uncultured archaeon
Lineage: Archaea
Description: partial 16S ribosomal RNA
Rfam family: Archaeal small subunit ribosomal RNA
Source: RNAcentral
AGGGUGUAAACGCUGCAGACUUGGUGUUGGAAGCCCUUUGGGGGCAUUCAGUGCCGGAGAGAAGUUGUUAAGUCUGCUACUUGGGGAGUACGUCCGCAAGGAUGAAACUUAAAGGAAUUGGCGGGGGAGCACCGCAACGGGAGGAGCGUGCGGUUUAAUUGGAUUCAACACCGUAAACUCACCAGGGAAGACCGUUACAUGAAGGCCGAGAUGAAGACUCUGCUAGAUUUUCAGAGAGGUGGUGCAUGGCCGUCAGUGACU